CCCAGACUCCUACUGGAGGCAGCCUUUUGGAAUUUUGUACCAUGGGCGCAAUCCUUAUCCAGCUAUUCCUCUUGUGGGAUUACUUCCCUCGGGUUUUCCACCACUUUAGUCUCUAACGAAACUUCUCUAUCGAAUCCCUCUCUCUGCUGCCUUUCCUCUAAGAAUCCUCCCCGGCUACCUACUUGCCAGCAUCCUCUUUAAUACGUCUUUUUCGAGCGUUAAUCUUAAUUACUGGGCGUUAAGGGUGUGCAGGAGGAGGAGUAAGAAAGAGGGGAAAUCCAAGGGAGUAACCUGGGAACCGCAUAUGUGACUGCUUGGCUAGAGUGCGUAAGAGGGAGGUGGAAUUCAAAGUGUAGCAGUGAAAUGCGUAGAUAGGGGGAAGAACAAAGAUGGCGAAGGAAGAAGCCUGGGACGCAACUGACGCUCAUACACGAAAGCGUGGGGAGAAAACAGGAUUAGAUACCCCCGUG
Molecule: ribosomal RNA, 470 nt
Filed under: uncultured bacterium
Lineage: Bacteria
Description: bacterial SSU rRNA
Rfam family: Bacterial small subunit ribosomal RNA
Source: RNAcentral